Molecule: long non-coding RNA, 1010 nt
Filed under: Malus domestica (apple)
Lineage: Eukaryota; Viridiplantae; Streptophyta; Magnoliopsida; Rosales; Rosaceae
Description: long non-coding RNA (MDOM_LNC005142)
Source: RNAcentral
CUUAUCACAUCAAAUCCCAAGAUAUCCUGCACGCUUGGAUUGGUUCAAAUAAUGCUCUCAUCAAAAUAACCACCAUUAUAUAUAUAACUAUAUAGUCUGGGAUAUUUUUGCACGACAUAGGCUGAUGGGUAUGCAGACUAUAUAGCCUACAUAUAUAUAACUUGUAGCUUUUCACACGACAUGCAAGUCUUCCAUCAUCUGACAACAUCCUAGCCCGCUUAGGUCUCCUAUCCACCAUUAUCUUCGGCUUGCAGAUCCAUGUUAGGCCAAGUGAAGAGUCCAAGAAUCUCUAUAAUUUAUUUUGUACAAGAAAACUAAGAUAAUUUAUUAAAAGAUAAUUAUUAUGAUUAAAAACCAUAAUAUUAUCUCUUAAUAAUAGCAAAUUAUCUUAAAUUUCUUAUCCGACGAUUAAGAACCAUGUUUACUCAACGACCUCAAUUGCUUGGGCCGACGGUGUAAAAUCAGGUCCAAACAUUGCCCCCUAGUUUCCUUGAGCUUCGACUCGUAAACCGAAUGGUUAAGGAAAUUAAGUGUUCGUAGCCGACAACAUUUCGUCUUAUUUUUGAAACAAAUUUUGUUCCUCGGCAAUAACAUGUAUGUUCUGCCAAUGUCGUGAUCUCCUUCUGCUAAUUCACCGUUUGUCUCUUCCAUGCAUAUGCAUGCAUUCUACUUUAACAUCUGAUGGGUCAAGGUCGAGAGUACAAUAAGGCCGAGAAGAACUAGGGCCAAGAUUGAUAAAACCCGUUCCUGAAGCUCGGCCUGCCUAUAAGUACAGAUAUAUAAAAGUACAUGAUUGUUUGAUGUGACCUGCCAGCCAUGCAGCUGCCAUAUAUAUAAACGGGAUCCUGGCCGUGCACACACACAUUUAUAAAAUGAACCUGUGCUUAGCACCAGUCCUUCGAGCUCGGCAUGUGUGAUCCCACUCUUUUCUUCUCGGUAGUGGCAUCUUGAUGUAAGCCAUAAACCCAAAUCCUGACAUGAUGCCAUCUGCCAUGCAUAUCUCCAUCAUG